RNA transcript from Notothenia coriiceps (black rockcod), 2394 nucleotides. It is a transcript of the gene named platelet-derived growth factor alpha polypeptide b, with no coding region annotated. NCBI's taxonomy places the organism in Eukaryota, Metazoa, Chordata, Actinopteri, Perciformes, Nototheniidae. The record is from RefSeq and is a predicted model, not a curated record. The transcript is spliced from 7 exons.
UCCAGCGGCUCAGAGGCGCUCUGUCUCCAUUCACUUCAGAGUCCCACACACUCAAGGACCUGUGCAGACUGCUGCAAGACACGCUCUGAAUAGCAGCACUACCCGGACAACUUUCUCCCUUGUGGUUUUCUAAGAGGAUCUGCUCGUUUGGAUUAUAUUCUUCUAGGACUAUUAAACGCUAUUUUAGAAACAGUCGUUGGUUUAAUUAUAACAGCUGCGCGUCUUUUUUGAUAUUUCAGUGAAUCGGACUUAAGUUUUAAACCUGUUUUGUAGAUGGUGAAGGACAAGUGCAAUGCGCUUCAGACUUGUCUCUUGGGAUUGUCCCACUUUCGCCUAAGGAGCUAUGUCGAUCUGCCGCACUGAUCUUGUUCAAGAGGACGCAGUCCAAUGUGAAUAACAAGAGUCAACUUCCAGCCUCUUCAGAUUUUCACAGCUUCAAGCAAGUGCAGCACGGAGUCUGACUGAGCCCGCUGACACCCUGAUUUCUGCCCCCGAGGGGAUGGUUGUGGAUCCUGUGGGGCCAGGAGCGAUUCUGCGGCUCCUACAGAACAGCACAUUUUUCUUGUUCGUGGUUAGAUCUAAAUUACAGGGAGAUGAGACCCGCACUUUGUUACUUCCUGCUGUGGACGACGUACCUGCUGCUGGCCAGCUCUGAGGAAGUGGAGUUUCCCCAGGAGCUGAUAGACAGACUGUCCCACAGUGAAAUCCACAGCAUCAGCGACCUCCAGCGGCUACUGGACAUUGAAUCCGUAGGUGCGGGAAACAAUGUUAUCGAGGAGCCCAAGCACCACAAGCACCACAACCCCCACAAGAACUACUCCCGUCAACAUGGUUACUACAAUGACCUGAAGAGCUCCCAGCUUCACAGCCGACGCAAGAGGAGCAUUGCAGAGGAGGCGGUCCCGGCGGUGUGUAAGACGCGGACGGUGAUCUACGAGAUCCCCAGGAGUCAGGUGGAUUCCACGUCUGCCAACUUCCUGAUAUGGCCGCCCUGUGUGGAGGUGAAGCGCUGCACAGGCUGCUGCAACACAAGCAACAUGCGCUGUCACCCUUCCCGUAAGCACCACCGCACCGUUAAGGUAGCAAAGGUGGAGUACGUGAGGAGGAAACCCAAGCUGAAAGAGGUCUUUGUGCGGUUAGAAGACCAUCUGGAAUGUGUGUGCACGUCGCAACAUCACGUUGUGGAGCACUCAGAUGCAGAAACAGGCCACCGUAGGGCUAAAGGUAAAAAAAGGAAACCUAAAAAGCUAAGGCCCAGCAAGGAUUUAUUGGCGACAUAAUAAAGUUGCACUCAAUACCCAAAGUCCACUGGAGAGCUGUGAAGUGAACAGUGGACGUGAGGUGAGACCAAUCAGAACAAGGGACUUCAGCGUGGGAGGGACCUAAAUAGUGGAUGCCACCAACAGGACACCUGCUCUGUCCUUUUCCCCAUUGCCAUGCAACCUUUGUUUUAAAAAAACUAUUUUUUUUCUGCUAAGACAACAGACUGAAAAAAAGACAACAGACACAAAUAAACCAUACCAAAGGUGCUUUGUUAAAAACAGUAACCAACAGUGAUGAUGACUUCCUCUGUGGUACGCCACCUAACCGACAACUGAACCCUGCCGCUGAUUAAGAGAGAAAGAUGCUGUAGCCCGGGCAAGGCAGGAAGAGGCCGAAGGGAGAUGAUGAAAGGGAUUUGUGUUGAACAUUUGAGAUUUUCUUUGAAGAAGACACACAACAGAAAUGGCUAUGAAACUGUUGGAUCAAGCCUUGGUGGGAAUCUGGUGCACAGACUCCAAAACAGCGGUGGAUGACCUCCAGCUGGGCAACAUUUAAGUGCCCUGCCCUGUUUAAAUGACUUUUUUCAUACAUCGUAAGAAAAAAAGAGAGAUAUAGGAACAAAAACAUUGGAAAGAGAGAAAUAGAGAGACACAUGGAGGUGUUUGCUUUUUCAAAAGACUCAAACAUUUUUUAGUAUUUGGAUGUUUGCUCUGAUUUAAGAGGAGAUCUUCUCCGAGACCCUUGAGAUCUGUGACUUUGCCCACUCUGCUAUGUACAGUUAAAUUUGAAAAGGACGAUGCGCCGCUACUUACAAACUAUUUAUAUGUGUGGCCGUUUGCCUUCUAUCUCUUCCAGUACAAAAUAAAUAACAAAAAAUAUGUUUAAAUGAUUUUGAAGACAUGCAAGAAUUCAGGUUUUUGUAACCAUCAGUUUCACAAUCUCAACGUCAUUUGUUUUUUUUAGUCAAUGUCAUUGUUGUCAUCCAUGUUUCUUAUUAUAUUACAGUAUAUCUGAAUGAUGUCAAGUCUUGUAAAUGGUUUGGAUUUAUGUAUGAAAGGAGGAGAUGUGAGAGUCAGUACAGGAAGAUGCUUUAUUUUUGUUAUGAAAUACAUUAAGCUUACUUAUAUCCGA